AUCAACUUUAAUUAAUUUUCUUCUCUGUUCUCUCUCCGUCCCUCCCUCCCUUGACCCUUUCCUUCUCGAUCUGGAGCAAGAAGCAGAAACAACUCGAGUUUCAUCCUCGGUCUCAAUCCAUCGUCUCUUGCUUCCUGAAGAUGUUACGGCGAGGCCGAUCCCCAUAUCAAGUCACUGUUCUCUUGCAUCAAGCAGAAGAAGAAGAGGCUGACUAGCUCUCUGUCAAAAUUUCACAGGUUAAAUCUGAAAUAUCUCUUGGGUUUUAUUCCUAUUGAGUAUCUUCUGUGAUUGGGUCUAUUUGAUUGAAGAUUUCUCACAUUUUCUUCACAUUGAAAAUCCCUAUGUGAUUGGGUCUAUUUGAUAUCUCAUUUGGUAUUUUCGAACUGUGAUUCUAUUAAGGAUUUCGAUGGGUUCCAGGUUCAGACAAUAGGUUGUAGAGGUUUUGAUUGAGUAUAAUUGGUUUUGGGUAUACCAUAUUUUAAGGUAAUUUUGUCCAGUGACUCCAUUAGGAUGAUUAGGACUGGGAAGGAUCAAGUUUAGUUACUGCACACCAUGUGUUUGAAGUUAUGCCUCAAAGACAGCACCCAAGCUGAACCAGUGGGCUAUUCCAUGAUUUUCGAAAACACUAUACUUCUUAUUUUACUCUCAGUUUUUGAUAGCUUAAAAUAGACUCUUCAAUGAUCAUUUUGAGCUUGGUUUCAUGAAAAACGGAGUUACAAUGAAAUACUUAUGCCAUUUUGAAAUUACUGCACUGUUUCAGGAUUUCUGCAGAAAUCAGUAUUUUCUGCUACUUUGGAUUCUUGUUUGACCACUCAUUUGAACUGCGAAUGACCUGAAAUUUUGCAAAAUAGUAGCUUUACAUGUCUACUUCAAAUCUGGAGAGUUUUGAAUGAAAUAACUGAAGAGUUCUUCAUUGGUGAAUUUUUCUUUCUUGCUAACAGUCUUCUGAAAUUUUCUCAAAUUUGCAGCAACCUUGUUACAAAACAAUCUGUUUGACAGGCCUUCACACCUUUGUCAGUCCUUGAAUUUUAGUAUAUUAAAAUAGACUGAAUAUUAACAUUUUUAUCUGGAUUUCUUGUUAACACUUAAGCAGGUUUGUAGAGAAAACAACAACCAUGGGUCUAGAAGAAUGUUAUUCACAUCGAUAUGUAAGUCUAAUAUCACGAAGAUAUGGCUUAUUCUUUUUUCCCUUGUGGUUCAUUUAUGCUCUUUAUUCUAGUUUUGUUGCUUGCUGCAGUUACUUUAAAGUCAGUGCAAGAGAACGAUAACUAUGCUGCAAUGAGAGAAAAGCCCAAAGAUUUUGCAAGUGAAAGCAUAGCAAGAGCUUAAGUUGGUUUGGGUCAAACUGAGAUUUAAGUUGAAAUUUGCUUUGAAUGUGGUAGGCACAUAUGUGCGCCAUGAUUGAACUAUUGUUGCCAUUGCUGAAGAAAGCUGCCCCUGAUACACCAGAGUAACAAGCCUCCACAAAGAAGGUUGAACAUGGCACAUAUGUGCGCCAUGAUUGAACUAUUGUUGCCAUUGCUAAAGAAAGCUGCCCCUGAUACACCAGAGUAACAAGCCUCCACAAAGAAGGUUGAACAUGUAGAUGCAAAAGUAUGGAACAACUGCAAGUUGGAGACCAGUGGAGUGGAGCGGGUCAGCCUAGUUUAUCAACUUUUGGUCUUCUUUUUGGGUACUCUUAUGAUGUAGUGGAACUAAAUGAUGAAACAAAUGUGAUGAUUUCUUAAUGAAACUAGUAGUAUUAUGUCUCCAUUGUGAUAUGUGUAAAUAAAAAGAUAAUUGAUUUCUGAA
Molecule: long non-coding RNA, 1791 nt
Organism: Rosa chinensis
Lineage: Eukaryota; Viridiplantae; Streptophyta; Magnoliopsida; Rosales; Rosaceae
Exons: 4
Source: RefSeq, a predicted model, not a curated record